This 253-nucleotide ribosomal RNA is filed under the name uncultured bacterium. RNAcentral describes it as "partial 16S ribosomal RNA". It matches the Rfam family "Bacterial small subunit ribosomal RNA", at positions 524 to 776 of the family's 1533-position model. The record is from RNAcentral.
GACGUAGGGGGCGAGCGUUGUCCGGAUUUAUUGGGCGUAAAGGGCUCGUAGGCGGUUUGUCGCGUCGGGAGUGAAAACCUCGGGCUUAACUCGGGGCUUGCUUUCGAUACGGGCAGACUGGAGGUAUGCAGGGGAGAACGGAAUUCCUGGUGUAGCGGUGAAAUGCGCAGAUAUCAGGAGGAACACCGGUGGCGAAGGCGGUUCUCUGGGCAUGACCUGACGCUGAGGAGCGAAAGUGUGGGGAGCGAACAGG